UGGGGAAUCUUGGACAAUGGGCGCAAGCCUGAUCCAGCCAUGCCGCGUGGAUGAUGAAGGCCCUAGGGUUGUAAAAUCCUUUCGUUGGGGACGAUAAUGACGGUACCCAAAGAAGAAGCUCCGGCUAACUUCGUGCCAGCAGCCGCGGUAAUACGAAGGGGGCUAGCGUUGUUCGGAUUUACUGGGCGUAAAGCGCGUGUAGGCGGGUCGUUAAGUUGGGGGUGAAAUCCCGAGGCUCAACCUCGGAACUGCCUUCAAAACUGGCGACCUGGACUCAAGUAGAGGCAAGUGGAAUUGCGAGUGUAGAGGUGAAAUUCGUAGAUAUUCGCAGGAACACCAGUGGCGAAGGCGACUUGCUGGACUUGUAGUGACGCUGAGACGCGAAAGCGUGGGGAGCAAACAGGAUUAGAUACCCCAGUAGUCCCUGAGCGGGCUGGCAAGGCGCAU
RNAcentral lists this ribosomal RNA (447 nucleotides) under uncultured bacterium. Its description in RNAcentral is "bacterial SSU rRNA". It matches the Rfam family "Bacterial small subunit ribosomal RNA", at positions 355 to 825 of the family's 1533-position model. The record is from RNAcentral.